Molecule: long non-coding RNA, 372 nt
Filed under: Musa acuminata (dwarf banana)
Lineage: Eukaryota; Viridiplantae; Streptophyta; Magnoliopsida; Zingiberales; Musaceae
Description: long non-coding RNA (MACU_LNC011779)
Source: RNAcentral
UAUUCUUGGAUUUUGACAUUCCUUUGUUCUUUGAGAUAAGUGCCUGUGAAUCAAUCUGAGAUGUUGUUGAAUUUUUUUUUCUCAACUCCUCAUUCAACAAACAACUUGUUAUUUGACUCAUAGUGACAACACCAUCUAGCGUAGAAUUACUGAGGGAAACCACUAAUGUCUCACAACUUUCUAGUAGUGAACUAAGAAGUAACAAUGCCUGCAACUCAUCAUCAAGAGAUAUUUUUAUAGAGGAUAACUAGUUAGUGAUACUCUACAUUUCAUUCAAAUGCUUAGCAAUAGAAACACCCUCUUUAUAUUUCAGGUUUACAAGUUUUCUAAUCAAGAAACCUUAGUUGCUAACCGUUUUUCUUUCAUAGAGAC